Molecule: ribosomal RNA, 254 nt
Filed under: uncultured bacterium
Lineage: Bacteria
Description: partial 16S ribosomal RNA
Rfam family: Bacterial small subunit ribosomal RNA
Source: RNAcentral
CACGUAGGGGGCAAGCGUUGUCCGGAUUUAUUGGGCGUAAAGAGCUCGUAGGUGGCUGAGUAAGUCGGAUGUUAAAUCCCCAGGCUCAACCUGGGACACCACCCGAUACUGCUCUGGCUAGAGUCCGGUAGGGGAGCGUGGAAUUCCUGGUGUAGCGGUGAAAUGCGCAGAUAUCAGGAGGAACACCUGCGGUGUAGACGGCUUACUAGGACGGUAACUGACGCUGAGGCACGAAAGCGUGGGUGGCAAACAGG